GCCUAGUGGCUAGCAACUGCAUGGGUUGAAGGAGAGGUCUGGGAUUCGAUAGCUGAGGCGGUCACUUAAAAUUGUUACUGCUUUGGACCCGUUGUAUAUUUAUAAAUUAGAAGGAAAAUUACAAAACGGGCCCGGGCCGGGCCAGUCCGAGGGCCUCAGGUUGGGGCGCAGGCACAGCACAGAUUAAACAUGUGCCGGGCCUGGCACUGUUGGGCUUAGCCCGCCGGGCUUCCGGGCUUUUGGAAAAAGCCCGGCCGGAUAGCCACCUAUAAUGGAAACAAACACUGAGCGAAAUAGAUGUGCACCUAAGUUGCCAAACCAGAGGUGAAGUGGCCCUGUGGAAAAGAUAAAUGGGCAAAGGGCUUCUCGGCUUCCAGAAUUUCAGGUCAGCUGUUGCUUAUUCGUUGAUGAAUAUAAGUUCUUCUUGUAGUCCCAAUGUCAAUCUGGCAGUGUCAUCACCAGCCUAGCAACCGGUCGGCUAAGCACGACCACAACAAGCUUCCUCCCUAGGCAGAGCUCCCCGUGGGGGACCCUGGGCUUUGCGCGAAACAGAGUUGGCUAAUGGAGUUUAGGAGAAAGAUUUCAGCAGCGGAUCCCAUGCUCUAACCACAGCGCUCCUACCAAAUUCCUUAUGCCUCUCAUGCCAAUACGAUCGAGAUUUCUAUAUCUUUGCUGGUAAUCCUUAAGCAGCUGGUUACCAUCUUGUCUCCACUAUCUACAUUUGAAUUACUGGAUGAUAUGUUUGCUGUUUCCCCCCAUCUCUCUGUUAUCUCUCUC
Molecule: long non-coding RNA, 777 nt
Filed under: Brachypodium distachyon (stiff brome)
Lineage: Eukaryota; Viridiplantae; Streptophyta; Magnoliopsida; Poales; Poaceae
Description: long non-coding RNA (BDIS_LNC004337)
Source: RNAcentral